Pantherophis guttatus is the source of this 1142-nucleotide long non-coding RNA. RefSeq lists it as uncharacterized. The record is from RefSeq and is a predicted model, not a curated record. Lineage: Eukaryota; Metazoa; Chordata; Lepidosauria; Squamata; Colubridae.
GUUUCUGGGCGGGGAGGGGGAGUCUCUUCAGGCAGCCAAAGCCCGCCCGCUUCAAGGCAGGUGAACUCAGCACGGGUCACAAUGCGCUGCCGCCAGAGAAGGGGAAGGGAGGGCGACGGAAGCCAAGGCUGUUGCUGCUGCCGCCGCCGCCGCCGCCUCUCUGGAAAUAGGGGGGACCCCGCGGGGCUCCUUUUUCCCAGGCAAACCCAACAACUGCGCGGGCGAGCCGGAGGGACAAAGUGCAAUCGAUCUGCCCUAGUUCAUCCAAAUAAUGCCUCGCAGAAGAUCAAACUUAGGUCGUCGUACUCGCGGAGCAGAAGCAGUGCGACGAGUAAUAGCAAAUCAAACUGAGGAAGAACGGGCAUCAGCAAACGAGCAAAACAGACAAAGAAUGGCUCAAAUACGUGCCGAGGAAACAGCCGAGAGACGUGCAGCCAGACUUGAGGAUGCACGGUUGCGAGCACGGCGAUCGCGUUCUGCAGCUUCAGAUCUGUUUCGUUCUCAACAGAAUAAACACAACAGGCUGAGAGUGGCUGAAAGACGUCAACGAGAAACAGCAGAUCAGCGUCAAACACAACUCCGUGCUCAGCAAUCACGUGAUUACAAUCGCCUUGCAUUCCGGUACAACCCAGCUGAUGAUUAUAGUUUGAGCCGGCAUGUUCUCAUCGGCACUAUGACUGAAGUGUGUCCUUAUUGCAAGGCACGUACUCCAAUUGAAAAUCGGCGUGUCAAUUAUCAUGUUGCAAAAUAUCAACCAGCCAAAGCUUUGCAAUGGCAAGCGACUUGCAGUAAAAAAAUUAAUGAGCAACAUCGUAGAAGCAACAAUCUUGACAGGACCUUUCAAAGUGAAGAUGUCCUCAUUCCUCGCAUUCCUAUGAUUCCAACGGAUAUGCCAUUUCAAUUUAAGAGAUUGCAAUUCCCAAUUUGAUUGGCGUUUGCAAUCACCAUCAACAAAGCUCAGGGCCAAUCUUUAGAAUUGUGCGGUUUAGAUCUAGACACGGAUUGUUUCUCACAUGGACAAUUAUAUGUUGCAUGUUCUAGAAUCGGCAAACCAGACAAUCUCUAUAUCUGCACAGACAAUGGAACAACAAAAAAUAUUGUAUACCCACAAGCAUUGUCAAAUUAAACAUAUUAGAAACAUG